CUCAUGGCCACCCCCAAUAUCCCUCCUUUUCUCCAAGACCUGAGAGAAGGUGGCACAAGCGCAUGGCAGGCAGGCAGGGCAGCACCUUCUCUGCUGUGCCGCAAUUUGUCAUCCUCCAGGAGCAAGCCCCAGGUUAGGAGGUGGCCAGGUUUCCACACUGCCCCUUGCAGAGCUCUGAAGGCAGUGCUGGCCAGGCUGCUGCUGCGGCAGCAUGGCAGAAAUGCAACCAGCCACCCAUCGUCCUCCCUAUCCUUUGCCCUGUUCCUCCCUGCCCUCACCAACAGCCACUGCUGAUCUGCAUCAAUUCAUCUGCUGUUUUGGUGAGUGCCUACUGUGCACUCCAAUUAAUAGAAUUGCUUUAUUUUGCUGGAGAGAGUGCUGGAGCCCAUGCCACAAACAGCUUUGAAUACUCUGCAUCUCGCCUGCCUGUUUUCAAAAAGGUGACUGCUGAUGACAGCUAAGAUAACAAGAGAGUGGGUUUUGGGGUUUUUUUUUGCCUUCAUGAGAACACCUCCAGUUCUAUUAAUAAAAUCCUGAAUCUGA
This is a long non-coding RNA of Vidua chalybeata, 543 nucleotides long. RefSeq lists it as uncharacterized. Lineage: Eukaryota; Metazoa; Chordata; Aves; Passeriformes; Viduidae. The transcript is spliced from 2 exons. The record is from RefSeq and is a predicted model, not a curated record.